Long non-coding RNA from Xenopus tropicalis (tropical clawed frog), 133 nucleotides. RefSeq lists it as uncharacterized. The record is from RefSeq and is a predicted model, not a curated record. The transcript is spliced from 3 exons. NCBI's taxonomy places the organism in Eukaryota, Metazoa, Chordata, Amphibia, Anura, Pipidae.
AGAGGAACAUCAGGGACUAUCUGGCAAUGAUCCACUUUAUGGAACAACUAGAAGAGUUAGAAAGGCAACAUCGCGUCCUCUGCACCGAACGGUUGCUGACUCCUUACACACCAAAAGAGCGACUGUUACGGGG